Molecule: small nucleolar RNA, 133 nt
Organism: Grammomys surdaster
Lineage: Eukaryota; Metazoa; Chordata; Mammalia; Rodentia; Muridae
Product: small nucleolar RNA SNORA17
Exons: 1
Source: RefSeq, a predicted model, not a curated record
GUGGUCCCUAAAAGUGAUGCAGGCAUGGCUGCUGUGUCACAUGUGUGCCAGUAGGUGGCAGAGAGGAGAGAGGCUUAUGUCUAUGCUCAGUGUUCAGACCCAUGGACAUCUGAAUGGUUAGUAACCUAACACU